This 70-nucleotide transfer RNA is filed under the name Cavia porcellus (domestic guinea pig). It matches the Rfam family "tRNA". From Rfam's summary of the family: Transfer RNA (tRNA) molecules are approximately 80 nucleotides in length. Their secondary structure includes four short double-helical elements and three loops (D, anti-codon, and T loops). Further hydrogen bonds mediate the characteristic L-shaped molecular structure. tRNAs have two regions of fundamental functional importance: the anti-codon, which is responsible for specific mRNA codon recognition, and the 3' end, to which the tRNAs corresponding amino acid is attached (by aminoacyl-tRNA synthetases). tRNAs cope with the degeneracy of the genetic code in two manners: having more than one tRNA (with a specific anti-codon) for a particular amino acid; and 'wobble' base-pairing, i.e. permitting non-standard base-pairing at the 3rd anti-codon position. The record is from Rfam by way of RNAcentral. Lineage: Eukaryota; Metazoa; Chordata; Mammalia; Rodentia; Caviidae.
UGGGAUAUAGCUCAGCAGUACAGUACCUGCCUGGCAAGCAUGAGGCCCUCAGUUCGAUUCUCAGUACCAA